Molecule: signal recognition particle RNA, 86 nt
Filed under: Pantoea sp.
Lineage: Bacteria; Pseudomonadati; Pseudomonadota; Gammaproteobacteria; Enterobacterales; Erwiniaceae
Description: partial signal recognition particle sRNA small type
Rfam family: Bacterial small signal recognition particle RNA
About the family: The signal recognition particle (SRP) is a universally conserved ribonucleoprotein involved in the co-translational targeting of proteins to membranes. Archaeal SRP consists of a 7S RNA and homologues of the eukaryotic SRP19 and SRP54 proteins.
Source: RNAcentral
UGUUGGUCCUCCCGCAAUGCUAACUUGUGAACUCGGUCAGGUCCGGAAGGAAGCAGCCGCAGCAGGCGACGCGUGUGCCGGGAUGU